GCCAGGCAUGGUGGCACAUGUCUGUAAUCCCAGCUACUCUGGAGGCUGAGGCAGGAGAAUCGCUUGAACCUGGGAGGCGGAGGUUGCAGUGAGCCGAGAUCAUAAUACUGCACUCCAGCCUGGGUGACAGAGCGAGACUCCAUCUUAAAAAAAAAAAAAAAAGAAAUGGAGUCUUGCUCUGUCACCCAGGCUGGAGUGCAGUGGUGUAAUCUCGGCUCACUGCAGUCUCUGCCUCCUGGGUUCGAGUGAUUCUCCUGCCUCAG
This 263-nucleotide signal recognition particle RNA is filed under the name Papio anubis (olive baboon). Its description in RNAcentral is "Metazoan signal recognition particle RNA (ENSPANG00000044461.1)". It matches the Rfam family "Metazoan signal recognition particle RNA". Rfam says of the family: The signal recognition particle (SRP) is a universally conserved ribonucleoprotein. The record is from Rfam by way of RNAcentral. Lineage: Eukaryota; Metazoa; Chordata; Mammalia; Primates; Cercopithecidae.